GGAGGGGGCUGACGGUACCGGGGUAAUAGCGCCGGCCAACUCCGUGCCAGCAGCCGCGGUAAUACGGAGGGCGCGAGCGUUACCCGGAUUUACUGGGCGUAAAGGGCGUGUAGGCGGCCUGGGGCGUCCCAUGUGAAAGACCACGGCUCAACCGUGGGGGAGCGUGGGAUACGCUCAGGCUAGACAGNGGGAGAGGGUGGUGGAAUUCCCCGAGUAGCGGU
RNAcentral lists this ribosomal RNA (221 nucleotides) under uncultured bacterium. Its description in RNAcentral is "partial 16S rRNA". It matches the Rfam family "Bacterial small subunit ribosomal RNA", at positions 461 to 682 of the family's 1533-position model. The record is from RNAcentral.